UACGGAGGGGGUUAGCGUUGUUCGGAAUUACUGGGCGUAAAGCGCGCGUAGGCGGACAUUUAAGUCAGGGGUGAAAUCCCGGGGCUCAACCCCGGAACUGCCCUUGAUACUGGGUGUCUUGAGUUCGAGAGAGGUGAGUGGAAUUCCGAGUGUAGAGGUGAAAUUCGUAGAUAUUCGGAGGAACACCAGUGGCGAAGGCGGCUCACUGGCUCGAUACUGACGCUGAGGUGCGAAAGUGUGGGGAGCAAACAGG
This 253-nucleotide ribosomal RNA is filed under the name uncultured Paracoccaceae bacterium. RNAcentral's name for it is "uncultured Rhodobacteraceae bacterium partial 16S ribosomal RNA". It matches the Rfam family "Bacterial small subunit ribosomal RNA", at positions 524 to 776 of the family's 1533-position model. The record is from RNAcentral. Lineage: Bacteria; Pseudomonadati; Pseudomonadota; Alphaproteobacteria; Rhodobacterales; Paracoccaceae.